AUUUAAGAACUUAGAAUUUAGAAGAAGGCUUACACGAGUAAAAGGAAAAGAAAGCAGAGAAGGUAUUGGCAGAAACCCUUCGCUCAAUAAGAAUCAGAAAAGUUUGUUGGUGCAGUUUUGGUACCGAAAACUCAUACCCAACUGGAAUUUUUUUAUAUAUAUAUUCUUGCGUCUCAACGAUAAGCUCCAGGUAAUUACAUGUAUUCUUCCUUCUUUAUAAACAAUAUUAUUUUAUAUACACAAUUUUAUGGGACCGAGUAUAUAUGAGGUGGAGAUUGAAUUAAGAGUUUAAAAGAUAAAGUUAAGGAAAUUGGAAGAAAUCCGUGAGACUUUUUCCAUGAAUUAACUGGGUAUAUUAUAUGAACAUGUUGUACUUAACAGAUUUUGAAUUGGUUUAAAUUACCAGUAGCGCGAGUAAGUAUAAAUUGACGAAUUAAGAGUCAAACAUGAAACCCAAGGAUUGGGUAUUCAAAAUUAGCUAUGGAUCAGCUUAAACAAGGAAAACUAACACAAGAUCGAUAUUGAUGUGGUUAUAGAUUGAUUAAAGAAGUCGUAUGAAUCGCUCGUGGUGACGAGUUUGAUAUUUCGACACAAGUACUGUGAGUAGUAACCUUAUCGCAAUUUUGUAUUUCUAUAACUAGCAUGAUUUACAUAUGACUAGUUUCCUGAAGAUAAAAAAGAAAUAGCCGGUUGAUGUUUCGAAUUUUCUAAUGUUUUGUACUCAAUUGAAAACUGAAGUUGUUACUAUCUUGUCAAUUAGUAGUUGCUAGAUCUUUAAUUUGUAAUGUCUAUAUUUAGUUGAGUCUCAAACUUGUAGUAUCAGCUUUAGGGUUUACUAAAGUUGUUCUUUUCUUGCUUCAUUAAAAAAGAGACAGUGAAGAGCAGCUUGGGUGUGAUUCCCCAUAGGUCUUACAGUGUUUGCCACUUUUGUUCUAGGGUUUGGUAUACACUGCAUUUUUAAGAAACAGAGAAAGAGUAAAUUCACGAGACUCAUCUUGAAGUAUGUUUAUAUGGUCAAUUUAGUUAUUAAUCUUGGGGUGACAUUAAGGGGUCAAUUUCCACAUGAUACUUCUGUUAUUAGGGGUAUUUGCAUUUUGACAACUGUAAGUUCCUUCAUUGCUUUACUUUGUCUUAUAGGGGAUGUAAUUAAUCAAACCAGAAAGAAGAUUGCUUUGCAAAGGCAUAGAGGUGGUGCUCUUUGUUUAAUUUAUUGUUGGGUUUGUUCUAAGAGUAUAGUCAUGCUAAUUGAGGGGAAAGAUUUGAUUGUUAUUGUGACUGCUUUUAUAUAAUUUUUGUUCCGCUUAGCUGAGACAUUGUUGAGGUACGUGGGUAAUUCUUUCUUGCCAUUGUGCAUCUCUAAGAAUGAUUUCUCAAUCUUUCCGUUGAUUUUUUGUCUUACUACCUGGGUAAGCCGGGUGUUGGAUAACAGAUCACAGAGAUGAAAUCUGCUUAGUGUGCUUAUCGUUGGUAGAGCUCCUACACCUCAUCAAGUAGUUAAAAUUGGAGCUCCAAUUGCUGAACCACCACAAGAUGGUGUUGGAGCUGGUAAUGCUCACGUUCUAAUACCAAUGCCACCGCAAGGUGGUGGUGAAGCUCCAAUCGUUGAACCAUCACAAGGUGGUGAUGCUGGUAAUACACAAGUUUCAAUACCGAUACUUCCACAAGAUGGUGUUGGGGCUCCAAUACCCGACCCACCUCAAGCUGGUGCUGGAGUAGUUGAGAAUCCAAAAAAAAUACAUUUCCCAUAAUAUUAAUUUUUUCUGUGAUUUCACUUGUAUUGGGUAUAUUAUUCCACUUUUGUCCUUCACUGGAUAUGUUUCAGUUGAGCAAAAUAAUUGAGACGCAC
This 1846-nucleotide long non-coding RNA is filed under the name Nicotiana tabacum (common tobacco). Its description in RNAcentral is "long non-coding RNA (NTAB_LNC012833)". The record is from RNAcentral. Lineage: Eukaryota; Viridiplantae; Streptophyta; Magnoliopsida; Solanales; Solanaceae.